Molecule: non-coding RNA, 1029 nt
Organism: Cyanistes caeruleus (blue tit)
Lineage: Eukaryota; Metazoa; Chordata; Aves; Passeriformes; Paridae
Source: RefSeq, a predicted model, not a curated record
UCUGGUCUCUGGCCGAAAUCGCCACCUCGGACCUCAAGAGUCAGACCCUGGGCCAAGGCUGCCAGCCUGCGCCGCUCUCCUCGGCCACCCCCGCCUCCGCCCCGCACAGCGCUGCCUACUCGCCCUCCUCCCUCCUGGGGAGGCAUAUUUAUUACACCUCACCUUUUUAUAGCAAUUAUACAAACUAUGGGAACUUUAACGCUCUGCAGAGCCAGGGAAUCCUGAGAUACAACUCCGCAGCAGUGGCAUCAAACGAGGGACUAAGUCAGACUGUCCUAAAUGCCAGCUCUGUCCACAAACAGAGCAGUGACUCUUUGAAAACGAUCACUAACCAGCUAGAACAGCAUUACAGGCCCUCUAGCUAUGACUCUAAGAAAGAUCCCACUGAAGUCUGCACAGUAGGAGUACAACCAUACCUAUAGAAGUGCAAUCACACAGCAAUGCAAGUAGGUGUCACAAUUGCUUUGAAAAAGUCAGCAAGCCAUCAUCUCUCCCCGAGCUAAUAUAUAUAACAAAUCUCUAAAUCCGGAUCACAUCUGGUGCCACUGUAUAAAAGAAGACCACAGAGCACUAUUAAAUCUUCAGAAUCUAAUUAUUAAACCAGAAUUUUGUUGGACAUAUGUGAGUUUGCUGGUAUAGUAUAGUUUCCCCAAUGUAUGUGUGACUUUUGAAAACAGAUCUGUUUUUCUCAGGAUAUCUUGAAUUGAUCACUUCAUUGCCACGGUAUCUAUUCAAUAGGUGUGAUAGGAUUUAUUGUAAAAUUUAUUUGUAAAAGAUGUAUACAGUAGAGAUAAUAAAGACGUGAUUGGAGAACUUGAGUCCUUACAAAGUGGAAACAAAUUUGAUAUUUAUUUUUGUAACGAUAUAAAGCUUCUAGUAAUUUAUGCAAGUUGUAUUGCAAUGGAAUCUGAACUUUUUGUAAAUAAAUUUUGCCUGGUUUUUAUUUGAAACGUUGAUGGUUAUACAAUCUUUGGUUGUUUAACAAGAAUUCUUUACUAAUUUAUAUCUCUAAUUGUAAAUAAAAACAGA